GCCGGUGUGGCGGAAUGGUAGACGCGGCUGACUCAAAAUCAGCUGCCAGCAAUGGCGUGUAGGUUCGAGUCCUAUCACCGGUACCA
Molecule: transfer RNA, 86 nt
Filed under: Arenimonas sp. SCN 70-307
Lineage: Bacteria; Pseudomonadati; Pseudomonadota; Gammaproteobacteria; Lysobacterales; Lysobacteraceae
Also listed under: 1 other name
Description: tRNA-Leu
Rfam family: tRNA
About the family: Transfer RNA (tRNA) molecules are approximately 80 nucleotides in length. Their secondary structure includes four short double-helical elements and three loops (D, anti-codon, and T loops).
Source: RNAcentral